CAGAAAGCAUCCGUCCAUCGAUCCAUUCAUCCAGCCUCUCUCCCUCUUGCCCGAACCCUAGAGCUCCGCUCCUCCCUGCCGCCGCCACCUCCACCUCCCUCUCCCCGAUCCAGACCCAGCCACCACCCAUGGCGCCAGCCAGAGCAGCCUGCGGCGAUGGCGACAGCGAGGCUAGAGGCCGCCGGAUUCGGGAUCAGGGCGGCACAUAGCCCCUCCUCCCGUGAGAUCCGGGACGCAGUCGCCCAUCUGGAUCGAGCAGCUCCUCUGGCCGCUGCACCGUCUCCACCGUCCGGAUUUGGUGCUCCUCACGCGACCCACCCCCCAGCACGCGUCUCCACCUUCUCUUCCCCAACAUCCUUGGUGAGGGAAUGAAUAGGAGCUCCGGCCAAGGCCAUGGACGCCACCAGCAGAAGCUCCGCCUCGGAUCUUGCGACCUCGUCGACCGAAUCCAGCAGGUCCCCGCCGCUGCACCAAGAUCCUCCCCUCCCUCCCAGAGAGUCCCUCUCUCCCACACGCUCUGCAUCCGCUAUGGCCGUCGCAGCUUCCACCUCCAGAAGAGCACCUGCUCCUUGUGCGGUUACCCGGCCGCCCGCAUCCGCAAGUAGAGAUUGACGGUCGGCUGGGCAGUGUUAGCGCUAAACCUUCAUGCGUACUCACUCUGCUGCAAGCUUUAAUAAUCUUGAUUGAUGCAGACGCCACUGUAUGCAUGCCAAUUUUCUUUUGCAGAUGCUUUCACUUCACCCUUUUCUUUUCAUUUCUUUUCUCUCGAAACAAGGAAAGGAUUUAUUCUGACGGCCAUCUCUAUUUUAGCCUUUUAGGACUCUUAUUAAUUAACAUGCCUACUCUUCUCUGUGGUUUAAGGCUAGUCGAUUCACACUGCAUACAUGCAUAGCUAGCUUCCUCAUCUCCAGUCAAUGAGUUUGCCUUGAUUCAGGUCUUCUCUUCUCCUGGUGAUCAAAAUCAACACCGUACCCUUCCGUUCCUAUCUUAUUUACUAGUUCCCUUUCGUUUCUGUACCUGUCAUAGUCAGUGUGGUAAACUGGUAAUCAGCUAGCUUGGUGGUCACCAGAGUAUGUACUAUUUUAUUUACUAGUACUUUGCUUUCGAUUGUAAUGUGGAUCAGGAGAUGAACUAUAUAUUUUGUUUGUGUCAUGCAUGGCUGUGUCAUACAUGUAUUGACUGAACUUGACUGAAUGUGCAAUUUGAAUCUAGUACUUCUUCCAUUUCUGCUUUCCCCCAACCGGACAUAAGACAUAUCUAGGGUUUAAGCUGUUUUGUUUAGUUUGCUUGCACUGCCUGAAAUGAUGCACCAAUUCUGUAUCUUAUCCUUUUGCUGGAUGGUGGACCUGUCAACGAGUAUUAUUGACUUGAGUGACGACAGAUGCGGUAUUGUGUAGAUGGGUGGUUUGAAUAGUUCGUCCAGAGAAAAUUAUUUAUAGAAUAGAGAUUUGGCGAAAUAUGGUGCUUGUUUAUUGCUGUGAUGGAUACAUCCAAGACAAUUAUUGCGGCUUCAUCAGUGGAGUGUAUUUUUGUUUCAUUCAAUGUCUGAUCUGAUUAUAAACAUAACCACAGGACGUAUUUAGAUGGGUGUAUUUAGUGGGGUGUAUUUAGAUGGGUGUAUAUAAAAAUGAUUUGAUCUUCUCUUCCUUGGUUUCCUGAUGCGCUCCUAUUCCACAACCACAGGGACGGCACAUCAAUUGGGGACGAGCAGGAUGGGGCCAACAAGCCUAGGAGGAGGAUGAGCUCCAUCCGCAGCAGCUCAUGCUCAUGGAGGAACAAGUCUGAAUCGUUGUUGUUACUCUGCUGUCCUGGAGUCACCAUCCACAGCAGCCGUGGUGUGGCUGAGCCUCUGCUACGGCUACAACCUCCCUCUGGUGAGCUCCUCCCUGUUCCUUCUUCUCUGAUGUAGCUCCUGCAUGGCCUUGGCCAUGAUUUGGGUUGGAUGUGGGGCUCUACUAGUUGCUGCUAGAUGCUGUAACCAAGCAUCAACUCCUACUGGAGCUCUCUGGUGAUAAAUUCAUGCGGUUCUAAGGUCUGUCAGUAGCUGCCCAUGUGUACUUGCUUUAUAUAUGUGAUCCUAUGAUGCUCUGGUGAUAUGGGUGGCUAUUAUCAAGAUCAUGUUGGUGUUGAUCCUUAUCUUGCGUGUCUCUGGUGGUGGUGGUGUUGACAGCAGUUACACACCUAGCUUGUAACUAAUAUCAUUACUGCUAAUUUACCUCAAGUUUAUUUGAACAUGGUUGAAAUGAGCGCUGCAAAUUUUGAUGUCUAAAAUCAAUUUUUACCCCAAGUCCUUAAUUAAUUACUAGCAAAAAGGCCCGUGCGUUGCAACGGGAGAAAAAAAUACCACACGCUCUUAAUUUACAAAAAAUGUUCUAUAAUCUGAGAAUUUGUAACUAUUUCUUAAAUACAUGAAAAGUUGUUACAAAAGUUGUUAAAAAUAUAUAGGAUUUUUUAAUCAUAAGAAGAGAUGUUUUUUGUCUGGAAAAGAAUAUUUUUUUGUGGUCUCCUAUUGACGCAAGUACUUGCGCCCCUAUUUUAUCACUAUUUCUUUCCGUACAUGUUAUAGGUAUUGGUCCCUGUUUCAUUGCUAUUUAUAUCUUAUCAAACUUGUCUUUUAUUAUUUUUUUCAUGCAUGUCCUCUCUUUUUUCUUCUUAUAUAGGAGAAUAGCGCAACAUCUCAUCUAUAUCGGAUCUCCUCCGCAUUUUCUCUUUUAUUUGUUUUAUAGCGGACAUUCCAUUUUUAUUGGGUCCUUCUUUUAUUUCUUGUCAUGCAUGUCCUUAUUUAUUGGGUGUCUCUAGCAAAUUUAUAUUGAAUUUUAUGACUAAUCCUGAUUUUGCUGGGGUGUUCAUCCCCAAUCUGAAUCACUACCGGUAUGAAAAAAAGACGAAUAAUGCAUUGUUGAUUAACAUUGCAGCCUAGAUAGUUUUUUUAAAUUGUUAACAGGUAAGAUAACAUCAUAUUCAGAUUCUACAUAUUUUUCUGAUCAAAUUCCAUAUAUAAAAUGUUAAAUUUGGAGUUACGGUUUAAAAGAUAUGAGUAUUUUUAAAAACAUUUGAUAUUUACUACGGGUUUAAUGUCAGAAACGCCAGGGGGUUUUCUACAAAAUAGCAUAACGGACUAAGAAUACCUAUUUCUUUUAUUGGUAGGUUUAGAUUUUCAUUACAUCACAGUUAGCUAAGAAUAUUGACUUGAAUAUUUUAUGUAUGCCCUGAUGCAUGUACAUAUAAAACACCGAGCUGCAGUGGAACAACUUGGAGUUAGAGAACUUUAAGGACAAGAUCAACGAGGUGACCAGCGUUAUGGCGGCUGUGUACAGUGGCGACCACAAGUUCUUUGGUGAGCUUGCAGUAUCCAUAUUGUGUCAUAUAAGAUGCAGCUCCGUUGUGCAUCUCUCUUUUCUUGUGUGCUGCAUCAUUGUUGCUUGAUAGAGUAAAUGAUUUCAGUUCUGGUUGUGUCAAAUCUUUACUAUGUACCCUUAGUGUUUACUAAACUGAGGCACUAGGCAUUGGAAUUCAGGC
Molecule: ribosomal RNA, 3519 nt
Filed under: Triticum aestivum (bread wheat)
Lineage: Eukaryota; Viridiplantae; Streptophyta; Magnoliopsida; Poales; Poaceae
Description: partial small subunit ribosomal RNA
Source: RNAcentral